UACAGAGGGUGCGAGCGUUAAUCGGAAUUACUGGGCGUAAAGCGUGCGCAGGCGGUUUUGUAAGUCUGUCGUGAAAUCCCCGGGCUCAACCUGGGAAUUGCGAUGGAGACUGCAAGGCUAGAAUCUGGCAGAGGGGGGUAGAAUUCCACGUGUAGCAGUGAAAUGCGUAGAGAUGUGGAGGAACACCGAUGGCGAAGGCAGCCCCCUGGGUCAAGAUUGACGCUCAUGCACGAAAGGCGUGGGGAGCAAACAGGAUUACGUAAACCC
This 267-nucleotide ribosomal RNA is filed under the name uncultured bacterium. RNAcentral describes it as "partial 16S ribosomal RNA". It matches the Rfam family "Bacterial small subunit ribosomal RNA", at positions 524 to 787 of the family's 1533-position model. The record is from RNAcentral.